This 347-nucleotide RNase P RNA is filed under the name Eubacteriales Family XIII. Incertae Sedis bacterium. Its description in RNAcentral is "RNase P RNA component class A". It matches the Rfam family "Bacterial RNase P class A". From Rfam's summary of the family: Ribonuclease P (RNase P) is a ubiquitous endoribonuclease, found in archaea, bacteria and eukarya as well as chloroplasts and mitochondria. Its best characterised activity is the generation of mature 5'-ends of tRNAs by cleaving the 5'-leader elements of precursor-tRNAs. The record is from RNAcentral. Lineage: Bacteria; Bacillati; Bacillota; Clostridia; Peptostreptococcales; Anaerovoracaceae.
UGAGUAAGCCAGGCAGUCGCGUGCGUUCGCGCAUGAGGAAAGUCCGGGCUCCAUAGAGCAAGGGUGCCGGAUAACGUCCGGUGAAGGCGACUUUAAGGAAAGUGCAACAGAAACACACCGCCGAAACGGGUCAGGCCGUGGUAAGGUUGAAAUGGUGAGGUAAGAGCUCACCGGCGGCAUGGUAACAUGCCGGCCGUGUAAACCCCACCCGGAGCAAGGCCAAGCAGGGCAACAAAAGUGGCUGCUCGUCACUGCCCGGUAUGGUAGGCCGCAUGAGCCUGCUGGCGACAGCAGGCCAAGAUAGAUGAUUGCCUAAUACAGAACCCGGCUUAUGGCUUGCUCAUUUU